GACGAACGCUGGCGGCGUGCCUAAUACAUGCAAGUCGAACGCAUUUUCUUUCACCGUAGCUUGCUACACCGAAAGAAAUGAGUGGCGAACGGGUGAGUAACACGUGGGUAACCUGCCCAUCAGCGGGGGAUAACACUUGGAAACAGGUGCUAAUACCGCAUAAUUCCAUUUACCGCAUGGUAGAUGGGUGAAAGGCGCUUUUGCGUCACUGAUGGAUGGACCCGCGGUGCAUUAGCUAGUUGGUGGGGUAACGGCCUACCAAGGCUGCGAUGCAUAGCCGACCUGAGAGGGUGAUCGGCCACACUGGGACUGAGACACGGCCCAGACUCCUACGGGAGGCAGCAGUAGGGAAUCUUCGGCAAUGGACGCAAGUCUGACCGAGCAACGCCGCGUGAGUGAAGAAGGUUUUCGGAUCGUAAAACUCUGUUGUUAGAGAAGAACAAGGAUGAGAGUGGAAAGUUCAUCCCUUGACGGUAUCUAACCAGAAAGCCACGGCUAACUACGUG
Molecule: ribosomal RNA, 506 nt
Filed under: uncultured bacterium
Lineage: Bacteria
Description: partial 16S ribosomal RNA
Rfam family: Bacterial small subunit ribosomal RNA
Source: RNAcentral